AUGAAUAGUGAUAGAAAACGUCUGCCACCGCGCGUAAUUACAGCGCCCCGCCAAGGGCAUUUUCGUCAUUUCGCGUCCUAUGGUAUAAAAAGGGCCCGCUCCUAUUGCGCGACCUCCUCCCGCACUCGCUCUCUCUCUCUCUCUCUCCACACCCUAACCCGCCUCUCUGCCCCGCCGCCGGCCGCCGCCGCCGCGGUCGCUCGCCCAGGCACCCAUCCCGCACUCGCGCCGCCGCCGUUGCCCCCUCUCCUCUUCCUUCCGCUCGGCCCGCGCCUCCCUGCCCCGCUGCCGUCCAGGGCCAGCCCCACACUGCUGCAUCCUCUUCCUUCCACUCGUCCCCACAGCGACGGCAGCAAGGACGGCGCGCUGCGCCCGCCCCCUCCACUCCACCAGAGGUGCCCCUCUCCGCCCCCGUCCUCCUCGCGCUCGAGGACCCCCGGUCGCCCUCGGCCCCGGCGUCCUACCGCGUCCUGCUCGCCGUCCUCGCCUGCGUUGCCCUCGCGGGAGAAGCAGCAGCCGAAAAUCGAUGACGCCGACCCCCUCCUCCACGGCAGCGCCUUCGUCCCCGACGACACCCAGCAGCAGCCCACUCCCGCUCAAUUUCUUGCUUCUUGUGACUUCUAUUGCCUGAGUGAUUUCUCACAUGGUUUCUCUAUUGAUUUGCAACAUGGUUCAAAGGCUGUUCUGAGCAUGUCAAGGCUGAAGUGUGCACUUCCGAGGUUUGAUUUAUGGGCCCUUUUGUUCCUGCUGAUUGGUGUGCCGAUUAUAAUCAUAUAUGUACAUGGCCAGAAGAUCAAGAAACAUCUUAAUUUCUCAGCCUCCAUGGACACGGCCGAGAUCCUUGACCAUUGCUCAUCGGGACAUGUGCCAUCUAGCACCAAAAACCCUUGUUUAGCUGUUCAGGGCCUUUAA
This 912-nucleotide ribosomal RNA is filed under the name Triticum aestivum (bread wheat). Its description in RNAcentral is "partial small subunit ribosomal RNA". The record is from RNAcentral. Lineage: Eukaryota; Viridiplantae; Streptophyta; Magnoliopsida; Poales; Poaceae.